AGGAAAAGAGGUAAUAAUUAAUAAUGUAAGUAAUGUGCAAAGUUAUUCCAUAAGUCAACUAAUAGUCGUCAUAAUGUUGAGCUGGAUGAUUGUCUUNUUGUUCAUUGUUUUGAGGCUCUGAUGGUGGCUGGACAGAUGGUGGCUGGACAGAUGGGGACUGGACUGAUGGGGUCUGGACUGGUAUGGGCUGGACAUGUGUGGGUUGAGCUUCAGUAGGCUGGACUGGUGUGGGCUGCGAAUGAGAGGCCGAAGGCACUGCAGACUGAGGAAGCAAUCUCAUGACCAGUUCUUUAAAAUUG
RNAcentral lists this long non-coding RNA (299 nucleotides) under Vigna radiata. RNAcentral describes it as "long non-coding RNA (VRAD_LNC016738)". The record is from RNAcentral. Lineage: Eukaryota; Viridiplantae; Streptophyta; Magnoliopsida; Fabales; Fabaceae.